GACGAACGCUGGCGGCGUGCUUAACACAUGCAAGUCGAGCGGUAAGGCCCUUUCGGGGGUACGACGAGCGGCGAACGGGUGAGUAACACGUGGGUGACCUGCCCUCAGCUCUGGGAGUAAGCCUGGGAAACCGGGUCUAAUACUGGAUAUGACUCCAUGACGCAUGUUGUGGGGUGGAAAGCCUUGUGCGGCUGAGGAUGGGCCCGCGGCCUAUCAGCUUGUUGGUGGGGUGANGGCCUACCAAGGCGACGACGGGUAGCCGGCCUGAGAGGGCGACCGGCCACACUGGGACUGAGACACGGCCCAGACUCCUACGGGAGGCAGCAGUGGGGAAUCUUGCGCAAUGGGCGAGAGCCUGACGCAGCGACGCCGCGUGAGGGAUGACGGCCUCGGUU
This 395-nucleotide ribosomal RNA is filed under the name uncultured bacterium. Its description in RNAcentral is "bacterial SSU rRNA". It matches the Rfam family "Bacterial small subunit ribosomal RNA", at positions 28 to 424 of the family's 1533-position model. The record is from RNAcentral.